GCGGGGCUGCCCGGUUCGACGGCAAUUCAUCCCCUGGGCCGAUAAGCACUUCCUCGGGAGCUGGCUCUGACGUGGCCUUGGUCACGUUAUCCGGCGCCCACCUGCACUUGCAGGCUCUGGGAGGCUGACAGUCCGACGGCCAUGGCGGCUCCGCA
RNAcentral lists this non-coding RNA (155 nucleotides) under Endobacter medicaginis. RNAcentral describes it as "6S / SsrS RNA". It matches the Rfam family "6S / SsrS RNA". From Rfam's summary of the family: E. coli 6S RNA was the first non coding RNA to be sequenced, but its function was unknown until recently. It consists of 184 nucleotides that fold into an extended hairpin structure with a large single-stranded internal bulge. The 6S RNA specifically associates with RNA polymerase holoenzyme containing the sigma70 specificity factor. Lineage: Bacteria; Pseudomonadati; Pseudomonadota; Alphaproteobacteria; Acetobacterales; Acetobacteraceae. The record is from Rfam by way of RNAcentral.